UACCAACUGCUCCAAAAAUGACUCUG
RNAcentral lists this non-coding RNA (26 nucleotides) under Mus musculus (house mouse). Lineage: Eukaryota; Metazoa; Chordata; Mammalia; Rodentia; Muridae. The record is from RNAcentral.